This is a long non-coding RNA of Zingiber officinale, 796 nucleotides long. RefSeq lists it as uncharacterized. The transcript is spliced from 3 exons. The record is from RefSeq and is a predicted model, not a curated record. Lineage: Eukaryota; Viridiplantae; Streptophyta; Magnoliopsida; Zingiberales; Zingiberaceae.
GCGCCAACUCAAAAAACAAAAACCCUAGCCUCGUUUGUUUCCUUCUCCAGCACUGCUUCCGCAGCCGUCUCCCUCAUCGCUUGCGCCACCUCCGCAAAAGGCCCGACCCUCUCGACGACCAGUGCCGCCCUCCUCCAGCGCCGCCUCCGCACAAAAGCCCUAGUCUCUCGACAUCCAGCGCCGCCUCCCUCCCGCUGAUUCCCUCGUUGCCUGCGGCCUACCUCCAGCAUCGCCGACAUCCAGCGCCUCCCUUGUCCCCUUGCCGCCUCCCUCCAACAUCGCCGAUCCAGCGGCCUCCAUCUAGCGUCGGGGACCUCCAACAACCUCCCAUCCUCCACCUCCAGCGAUCUUCUGACGACCUCGAAUUCCCUCGCUCCCGCGACCUAGAAGGAUUACAGCUGCCUCCAUCCUUCCCAGAAAGGUGCUAUGCACGGUUGCAUCCGAGGGCUGUAAACUGCCGGAAGAAAAAAUGUGGCCACUGCAAUCAGCUGAGGCCUAAGAAGAAGAUCAAGUAAAUUCUGCGAUUCAAAUUUCUUUUCCAGGCUGAAUUGCCAUAUCAAAAAAUUCUACACUUUCGCGUUGAUUAAAAACUUACUGCACUUCUGCUGUUGUAAUCUUGUCGAACGGUUAACUAAGUUGGUGCUCGUUUGGCUUACUAUUUGUUGGCAUUAUGUUUUGAAACAUAUUUGACUAAGUUAAAAUGGUGGACUAGGAGUUUUAUUUUGGAGGAUUAAUGAGACAAUCUAGCAUUUUUAGAUUCACAUAAAUAUUACCCACAGCAUAUAUUUCGUGUUUU